Molecule: unclassified non-coding RNA, 227 nt
Filed under: Hevea brasiliensis (rubber tree)
Lineage: Eukaryota; Viridiplantae; Streptophyta; Magnoliopsida; Malpighiales; Euphorbiaceae
Source: RNAcentral
GCGCAAAAUGCCAAUAUGGCGGACCACAAAGGUUUGCAUUGCAAUCAACAGAAUGGAAGAUGUAGCUAAGCAAAGGAGCACCAUUUUGGCUGUCGAGGAUAGGAAAAUAUCUGAUGUUUCCAGCCAUCUGAAUAUGUUUGUAGAUUCUUAUUCUUUGUCCAUAAUUCUGUACCUGGAUUGACAUAUUUAGUGUAGUUUAAUGGGGCUUCAUGAUUUGUGGUCCGCCA